RNAcentral lists this transfer RNA (39 nucleotides) under Blepharisma stoltei. RNAcentral's name for it is "tRNA-Thr(agt)". Lineage: Eukaryota; Ciliophora; Heterotrichea; Heterotrichida; Blepharismidae. The record is from RNAcentral.
GUAAGCAAAAGGUCUCCGGUUCAAACCCGGAUGGAGGCU